RNAcentral lists this ribosomal RNA (467 nucleotides) under uncultured bacterium. RNAcentral describes it as "partial 16S ribosomal RNA". It matches the Rfam family "Bacterial small subunit ribosomal RNA", at positions 28 to 507 of the family's 1533-position model. The record is from RNAcentral.
GAUGAACGCUGGCGGCGUGCUUAACACAUGCAAGUCGAACGAUGAAGCCCAGCUUGCUGGGUGGAUUAGUGGCGAACGGGUGAGUAACACGUGAGCAACCUGCCCCUGACUCUGGGAUAAGCGCUGGAAACGGCGUCUAAUACUGGAUAUGUCCCGUCACCGCAUGGUGUGCGGGUGGAAAGAUUUUUCGGUUGGGGAUGGGCUCGCGGCCCAUCAGCUUGUUGGUGAGGUAAUGGCUCACCAAGGCGUCGACGGGUAGCCGGCCUGAGAGGGUGACCGGCCACACUGGGACUGAGACACGGCCCAGACUCCUACGGGAGGCAGCAGUGGGGAAUAUUGCACAAUGGGCGGAAGCCUGAUGCAGCAACGCCGCGUGAGGGAUGACGGCCUUCGGGUUGUAAACCUCUUUUAGCAGGGAAGAAGCGAAAGUGACGGUACCUGCAGAAAAAGCACCGGCUAACUACGUG